This 498-nucleotide ribosomal RNA is filed under the name uncultured Methanosaeta sp. Its description in RNAcentral is "bacterial SSU rRNA". It matches the Rfam family "Archaeal small subunit ribosomal RNA", at positions 842 to 1338 of the family's 1478-position model. Lineage: Archaea; Methanobacteriati; Methanobacteriota; Methanomicrobia; Methanotrichales; Methanotrichaceae. The record is from RNAcentral.
GCCCGCUCAGAAACUUAAAGGAAAUUGACGGGGGAGCACCACAACGGGUGGAGCUUGCGGUUUAAUUGGAUUCAACGCCGGAAAUCUUAUCGGGACCGACAGCAAUAUGAAGGCCAGGCUGAAGACUUUGCCGGAUUAGCUGAGAGGUGGUGCAUGGCCGUCGUCAGUUCGUACUGUGAAGCAUCCUGUUAAGUCAGGCAACGGGCGAGACCCACGCCCACAGUUGCCAGCGUACUCUCCGGAGUGACGGGUACACUGUGGGGACCGCCGCUGCUAAAGCGGAGGAAGGAAUGGGCAACGGUAGGUCAGUAUGCCCCGAAUAUCCCGGGCUACACGCGAGCUACAAUGGUUGGUACAAUGGGUAUCUACCCCGAAAGGGGACGGGAAUCUCCUAAAACCAAUCUUAGUUCGGAUUGAGGGCUGCAACUCGCCCUCAUGAAGCUGGAAUCCGUAGUAAUCGCGUUUCAACAGAACGCGGUGAAUACGUCCCUGCUCCUU